RNAcentral lists this transfer RNA (64 nucleotides) under Trichonephila inaurata madagascariensis. Its description in RNAcentral is "tRNA-Cys". The record is from RNAcentral. Lineage: Eukaryota; Metazoa; Arthropoda; Arachnida; Araneae; Nephilidae.
GAAUCUCAGUGGUAGAGCAUUCGACUGCAGAUCGAGAGGUCCCCUGUUCAAAACCGGGUGUCCU